CGGGCAGUAGCUCAGUGGUAGAGCUCCCGCCUCAAAUGCGGGAAGACCUGGGUUCGAUUCUCUGUUGCUUGC
RNAcentral lists this transfer RNA (72 nucleotides) under Toxocara canis (dog roundworm). It matches the Rfam family "tRNA". Rfam says of the family: Transfer RNA (tRNA) molecules are approximately 80 nucleotides in length. Their secondary structure includes four short double-helical elements and three loops (D, anti-codon, and T loops). The record is from Rfam by way of RNAcentral. Lineage: Eukaryota; Metazoa; Nematoda; Chromadorea; Rhabditida; Toxocaridae.